GGGGAUGCACUGGUUUCGACGGGGUGUGUGAAUGUUGUAGUUGCUCCGCCGCGCCUUAAUUGCUUGUCAGGCGCGUUAUUAAAUGACAGGUGAAAACAAAUGCUACGAACUCUUAUGAGUAUCGUCUUGCUGCGUAACUAAACAGUUACAAGUGAGCAUCCUGCCCGUGAUUUCCUACGGUAACGGUUGAUGUGGGUGUCGAUAAAAUUGUAGGAUUGAAAGCGAAAUUCCACAGAUGAUUGAGCUUUUGAAAAAUAUGUCUGUUAAGCAGUAAAUACCGUGUCUUUGCGGUCGUUAUUGACGAAAAAUCAAUUAAAGACUAAGCGGCGUAGAAGUUACUGCAUUUCCAUUUCGGACGCGGGUUCGAUUCCCGCCAUCUCCACUA
RNAcentral lists this transfer-messenger RNA (385 nucleotides) under Bacteroidota (CFB group bacteria). RNAcentral's name for it is "GCA-016700335 sp016700335 Standard tmRNA". It matches the Rfam family "transfer-messenger RNA". From Rfam's summary of the family: Bacterial tmRNA, also known as 10Sa RNA or SsrA, is named for its dual tRNA and mRNA-like properties. Its role is to liberate the mRNA from a stalled ribosome. The record is from RNAcentral. RNAcentral also lists the same sequence under 1 other name. Lineage: Bacteria; Pseudomonadati.